GACGAACGCUGGCGGCGUGCUUAACACAUGCAAGUCGAGCAGUAAGGCCCUUUCGGGGGGUACACGAGCGGCGAACGGGUGAGUAACACGUGGGUGACCUGCCCUUAGCUCUGGGAUAAGCCUGGGAAACUGGGUCGUAAUACCGGAUAUGACUCCAUAACGCAUGUUGUGGGGUGGAAAGCCUUGUGCGGCUAGGGAUGGGCCCGCGGCCUAUCAGCUUGUUGGUGGGGUGAUGGCCUACCAAGGCGACGACGGGUAGCCGGCCUCGAGAGGGCGACCGGCCACACUGGGACUGAGACACGGCCCAGACUCCUACGGGAGGCAGCAGUGGGGAAUCUUGCGCAAUGGGCGAAAGCCUGACGCAGCGACGCCGCGUGGGGAGU
RNAcentral lists this ribosomal RNA (383 nucleotides) under uncultured bacterium. Its description in RNAcentral is "bacterial SSU rRNA". It matches the Rfam family "Bacterial small subunit ribosomal RNA", at positions 28 to 409 of the family's 1533-position model. The record is from RNAcentral.